UACGAAAGGGGCUAGCGUUGCUCGGAAUUACUGGGCGUAAAGCGCACGUAGGCGGCUUUCUAAGUCGGGGGUGAAAUCCUGGAGCUCAACUCCAGAACUGCCUUCGAUACUGGAAAGCUCGAGUCCGGGAGAGGUGAGUGGAACUGCGAGUGUAGAGGUGAAAUUCGUAGAUAUUCGCAAGAACACCAGUGGCGAAGGCGGCUCACUGGCCCGAUACUGACGCUGAGGUGCGAAAGCGUGGGGAGCAAACAGG
This 253-nucleotide ribosomal RNA is filed under the name uncultured bacterium. RNAcentral describes it as "partial 16S ribosomal RNA". It matches the Rfam family "Bacterial small subunit ribosomal RNA", at positions 524 to 776 of the family's 1533-position model. The record is from RNAcentral.